Molecule: ribosomal RNA, 404 nt
Filed under: uncultured bacterium
Lineage: Bacteria
Description: bacterial SSU rRNA
Rfam family: Bacterial small subunit ribosomal RNA
Source: RNAcentral
UUAUCCGGAAUGAUUGGGCGUAAAGGGUGCGUAGGUGGCAGUACAAGUCUGGAGUAAAAGGUAUGGGCUCAACCCGUACUGGCUCUGGAAACUGUUCAGCUAGAGAACAGAAGAGGACGGCGGAACUCCAUGUGUAGCGGUAAAAUGCGUAGAUAUAUGGAAGAACACCGGUGGCGAAGGCGGCCGUCUGGUCUGUUGCUGACACUGAAGCACGAAAGCGUGGGGAGCAAAUAGGAUUAGAUACCCUAGUAGUCCACGCCGUAAACGAUGAGAACUAGGUGUUGGGGGAAUAACUCAGUGCCGCAGUUAACGCAAUAAGUUCUCCGCCUGGGGAGUAUGCACGCAAGUGUGAAACUCAAAGGAAUUGACGGGGGCCCGCACAAGCGGUGGAGUAUGUGGUUUAA